Molecule: non-coding RNA, 1137 nt
Organism: Danio rerio (zebrafish)
Lineage: Eukaryota; Metazoa; Chordata; Actinopteri; Cypriniformes; Danionidae
Source: RefSeq, a predicted model, not a curated record
AUUUCAAACACAUUUUUGAAAUGUUUAUAUCUUCUAAGUGCAAAUUCGGUCUGUUUUUGAAGCACACAAGUAUUUAUAACCCUAAGACUAGUGUGUUAUAUAAUUCAGAUUUCACAGGGACUUGAACUGUGGUGCUCACAUCUGUCAUGUCUUAUUACUUUGCACUUAAAUAAACAGAAGCAAGUUGCUGUGUGGCAUGAAAUGGUGCAGACUAAAAAUGCGAUUCAAACUGAAUGUUAUGUCAGGGUCGCAGGUUAAACUGUGAUCGCACCUUAAAUCUCUGCUUUUCUCUGUUUGCCAGUCCAGCGCUGCUUUAGUGUGAACCAUCGCACCUUUUCUCUUCUGCACUCCCAGCUGUUGUUUACUGCUGAGCUGAAGUCAGUGUACCUGCAAGAGCAUCACAGCACUCGUAAUAACCCCGCUGCUGUUUUACACAUCCUCCGCUAUGAUCUGACUGUCAAAAGUGCCAAAGUCUGGAUCGGCAAGUCAAGGAGAGAAAUGCACAGCAUCCCUUCACUGCAUUCACACCUUUCUCGCCGUGUUGGACUCUCCAGCGUUGGCGUCUCUGCUCCUGGGCUCUGAAAUGCCCACUGCCGCUGCUCAGGACAUCAGUCAAUGUUCUCAGGCAGAAGAGGCCCAGAGGUGCCAGAGAGGAAGACAAAAAUAGGCCUGCCCAUCUAUCUGUCUAUGACCAUCGAUCCUCAGUGGCUCAGCCUGGACUUAUGAGAGCACUAGAACCAUCUGCAAAACAGCAGCAGCAGAACAGAAAGUCCCCGUCUCUCGGUUUGUGUCUUUGUUUUUGCUGGAGUGCCGAGGUGAGAGUGGAGCACAUGCUGGGCUGCUCCAUCAGAACUGCGCUGAUAGUUUUUUGGGGAAACACAGCGAGACGUCUGAGGAAAAUGGCAAAAACAACAACACAAAAAUAACGUUGGCUUGACGAGACAUUGAAAAAUAUCCCAGCAGAUGCUAAUUUGUGAGAACAAAAUGCACUGUAAAAAAUAAAAAGUUGAGUAAACUUAAAAUUUUAAAGCAACCGGCUGCAAAGAAAUUUUGAGUUUACUCAACUUCAGUGGUUGAAGUUGUGCCAAAUUAUUUUUUUAAGUUGACUGAAAUGGCUGGUUUAAGUCAUGACAACUU